This 254-nucleotide ribosomal RNA is filed under the name uncultured bacterium. RNAcentral describes it as "partial 16S ribosomal RNA". It matches the Rfam family "Bacterial small subunit ribosomal RNA", at positions 524 to 776 of the family's 1533-position model. The record is from RNAcentral.
UACGUAGGGUGCAAGCGUUGUCCGGAAUUAUUGGGCGUAAAGAGCUCGUAGGUGGUUUGUCGCGUCUGCUGUGAAAACGCGGGGCUCAACUCCGCGCCUGCAGUGGGUACGGGCAGACUAGAGUGCAGUAGGGGAGACUGGAAUUCCUGGUGUAGCGGUGGAAUGCGCAGAUAUCAGGAGGAACACCGGUGGCGAAGGCGGGUCUCUGGGCUGUAACUGACGCUGGAGGAGCGAAAGCGUGGGUAGCGAACAGG